CAAGUAACAAGCUACUAAAACUACUAACGUCUGCUAAAUGUUGUGUGAUGCGUCUAGUGUGUUGGUGUUAGUGUGUGUGUGCUUGUCACCUCUCGCUUUCAUCCAUCACCGCUGGCUAGCAGCAAUGUGAAAAGGGAAGGAAUUUUUAUGUCUUCCCCUGCCAGAACAUAGCCUCUCCACAACAAGUCCUAUGCGAUGCCUCCACGUGGAAGCAGACGGAUACUGGGUACCAUUUGGUCCCAGGCUAAGUUCGCAAGGGCGCACGGGAAGAUGAGUCUCAAAAGCAUUGAUAAACAUCUUAUCUAGGAAAGAAAACUGAUCACAACCCCUAUUUAGUAGAAGAAUCAAUUGAUAUAAGUGCUGGUUUUUAAAAGAAGUGAACCUUUGUUCAUUUUAUGUCUUUGUCAUCUUUUUUGUAAAAUUUCCCAUUUUCAUCUUUGUCAAAAUUCAAGGAAACUUGGCAAAGAGUAUCCUUGGAUAAAUGCCAUUAUGGGAUUUAAGUUUAUUCAAAUGAAGGCCCACUCCCUCUUCAAACGGAAGAUUACUACAAAUAAGUGAAAAAUUAAGGACAUCUUUUAAAAAUCUUCUUUUCAAGAACCACUGAGACAGGAAAGAGACUCUUAUGUGGCAUCAUCCUCAGGUAGUGUAGAUUCAAAGUCAAAUUAAGACCCCAUGUUGGGGUCAGAAUAGGGGAUCAAAAAUAUAUAUUACACCGUAGAUUCCUUAUUUUCCGCAUGUAAUUAUUAUCGCGAAUAGGCUUUUCACUCUCAAAUCACGAGAAUUAUAAUUCGAAUGGAUGGUUGGUUAAAAGAUUUUACAUAGAUUUCAGCUCCAUAAAAAUAAAGGCGAGUAAUUUAAUUUUAAGUUUGAUGCCCCUCGAGAAAUUACGCGAUAAUUACUUCCACGCAUAUAUUUAGGAAUCUAUAGUAUGUACCAAGGGAUAUACAUAAUUUUUUUUUUCUCAAGCCACAAUUAGUCAUAAAUGAUAUCAGAUCAUCCUUUUUGGUAGUGAAGAUUUCAUUUUGUUCAAAUCACGUCUACCGGGGACCACAAUGGACAAUCAAAGUUUUACGUUGGAUUAUAUUGGUAAUAUCUUGAGAAAUCUCAGAAACAAAAAUGUCAUGACUGGUAAUAUGUAUACGCUAGCAUCUUCAUGUAGCGUAGAUUUAAGUUUGUUCAAAUCAUGACUCCCGUGUGUAGGGCAGAGCCCCAAUGGUGGAUCAAAAUGGACAGGAGAAUAUAUAGGAAACGUCCUCUCGAUAAUACUAAAGCCAUAUGUAGUCAUAUUGAUAUGGGAGCAUCCUUAGGUAGUGUAGAUUCACAUUUGUCCAAAUCUUGAUUCCAGGGGGCAGGGAGGGGCAUCAAUGGGGAUAAAAUUUUAACAAAGGAAUAUAUAGAAAAAAAAUCUUAUGUUCAAGAACAGCUAAGCCAUUGUUAUAAUAAAUGAUAUGAAAAUGUCUCAAGGUAGUUUUUCAAAAAUUUAUACUUUUCAAUACUGGACUAAUUUGUGCAAAUGCUUAGGUGAGCAUAUCGGCCAUUGGCCACUUGUUUAUUUUAGAAAUCUUCUCACUUGGUAUGAAGUGCCAAUGAUCUCCUUUUGGUGUCUGUUUUUAUCUUUUUAAGCAGAAUAAUGUUAAGGUUGAACAGGAUCCUGAAGUGAGGAAGACUCCCUCUCCCAUUGAACUGCAGACAUCAGCAGAAAGCAGAAUUUCAGUUCCUCUUUUAUUCAGAAGAGGAACAACAAUGGAGGACCAAGGUCAUUAAUAUAAGAGUCUAUUCCUGUCUGUGUUUUGAAGGCAUUGUGUUUCAAAAGUGGUAAGCAACAAGCUGCUUUUUACUGAAGCUUCUCACUUGAUAUGAAGUGAAAGUGUUUCCCCUUUUAUGUCUCUGUUUUAUCUUUUUAAGCAGAAGAAAGUUAAAACUGACUAGGAAUUUUAAGUGAGGAAGAGUCCCUCUCCCAUUCCGCUGCAGCCAUGAGGAGAAUAUUUGUACUCCUUUUUUUUUACCUAAGGAACUUCAUCAGGACCCACUUGAACAAGCAGAAGUCUUACAAUAUUUUAAAGGGAUUUGACAAGGGAAGAAGGAAGAAGACCAGUGCUGACCAAGAGAAGAAGAAGAGUCCAUUGCCAUGCUUUGUCCAGCAGCCAAUAUCUGAUAAUGGAGCAGAAGAUGAGACUGACCUCAACUUGUUAACAAGUCUGGAGAUGAAGGACUAACUACUGUCUAACCUGAAAUCUUUGGUAGGGGUUUAUGCUGGCAUUGAUCCUGUUUCCAAAAACAGCUUGCCAAGUUUCUGUGAGAGUCCAAAGAGAUCAGCUAGAACCUGAAAAUAAAGACUGACUGCCAUCAAUUUUGUUUCUUUGACAGCAGACAAAUAUGCUUCAACAAUAGUGCAGAGAUUAAGGUUUGGGCUGCAAGUGAUGGACACACUAAAGAGCUUAACUCACAGAAUUCAAUGGACUGUGCUGAGUACAUUGUUAUCAGAAAGUGAUGGACACACUAAACAGCUUACCUCACAGAAUUCAAUGGACUGUGUUGAGUACAUUGUUAUCAGAAAGUGAUGGACACACUAAAGAGCUUAACUCACAGAAUUCAAUGGACUGUGCUGAGUACAUUGUUAUCAGAAAGUGGUGGACACACUAAAUAGCUUACCUCACAGAAUUCAACGAACUGUGCCGAGUACAUUGUUAUAAUAAAGUGAUGGACAGUUGGACUCACUAAAUAUCUUAAUUUGUAGGAUUCAGUGCACUGUGCUGAGUAACUCUUAUCAACACAGUGAUGGAAACGCUAAACAGCUUAACUCACAGAAUUUAAUGGAUAUUGCUUGAGUAUGUUGUUAUUACAAAAUGAUGGACACAGUAAAUAGCUUGAUUCCAGAAUUCAGUGGACCGUGCUGAGUACAUAACUCAUAAAGGAUAACUCCUGACAUAUUCACAGCAGAUCACUCAAAGUUAACUCUGUUAAAUUUGUAAUAAGGCAUUUGGAGAAAGCUCAGA
Saccostrea cuccullata (small rock oyster) is the source of this 2996-nucleotide long non-coding RNA. RefSeq lists it as uncharacterized. The record is from RefSeq and is a predicted model, not a curated record. Lineage: Eukaryota; Metazoa; Mollusca; Bivalvia; Ostreida; Ostreidae. The transcript has 6 exons.